This 78-nucleotide transfer RNA is filed under the name Methanobacteriota archaeon. RNAcentral's name for it is "Euryarchaeota archaeon tRNA-Ile". It matches the Rfam family "tRNA". From Rfam's summary of the family: Transfer RNA (tRNA) molecules are approximately 80 nucleotides in length. Their secondary structure includes four short double-helical elements and three loops (D, anti-codon, and T loops). The record is from RNAcentral. Lineage: Archaea; Methanobacteriati; Methanobacteriota.
GGGCGCGUAGCUUAGUUUGGCUGGAGCACCCGGCUGAUAACCGGGAGGUCACAGGUUCAAAUCCUGUCGUGCCCNCCA